CACUGUUUAAAAAUGUGUACCUUAUUUCUAGUCUGAAUUUAUCUAACUUCAGCUGCCAGCCAUUGGAUCUUAUUUUACCUUUAUCUGCAGGAUUGAAGAGCCCAUUAUCAAAUUUCUGGUUCCCCUAUAGGUACUUAUGAAGCGUGGUCAAGUAAACACCUCUUAAGCUGGUCUUUGUUAAGCUAAAUAAAGUUCCUUGAGUCUAUCACUAUAAGGCAUGUUUUCCAAUCCCUUAAUUGGUCUUGUAGCUCUUCUCUGAACACACUCCAAUCAAUCAAUGUACAUCUUGAAUUGUGAACACUAGAACUAGACAUUCCAGCAGCAAUUGCACCCAUGCCAAAAACAGAGGUAGUAUAACCUUCCUACUUUUACUGAAAUUCCCCUGUUUAAACAUCUAUGGAUAGUCCUUUUGGCCACAGCAUCAUACUGGGAGCUUACAUUCAUCUAAUUAUCCAUCGGCAUAUGAGGUGGCCCAUGGGUACUACUUCAUCAUUAGUGAGGAACAGGUUACCUUCAGCUGAGCUUCACUGCAGGUGUUCAGCGCAAGAGCUAUCAGAGUGGUUAAGGCAAGAAGAGUAUGGGUUCGCACCUGGGUUCAUAGGACUGGCUUGAGUCCCAUGCCGGGGGAGUUUUCUGUUUACGUUCUAUUUGUGUUAACUGAUUGUAUUCUCUUGAUCCCUGGAGGAAAAGACUUGAUGCUCUGUGGCUGGUUUUGACCCUGCCAAGUCAGCCCACCAGCUGACAAUGCUGAUUUCCAGUGAGUGCCGCAGGAGGGCCAGUCAGAGAAUGUUUAACCGGUUCAAAUACAAACUACUUAUACCCGUAACUCUAACAGGAUGGCCAGCUCAUUUAAUACCCAGGUGGCUUGGGGCCAGUCAGCCCUCCUUAAUUAGCCCUUCCCUGCUAUGUCUCUGUAGGUUUUGGGACUUAAAAGGAGGAAAAGGCUUCAGGAAUGGAAAUCCCUGGGCAAAGCUACCAGUGAAGAGGGAGAGGAGGCAACUAGGAUUGACUGAAUAGCUAUUGAUUGACUGAAUUAUUGGACGUGAGGAAAAGAAGUGCUCGGAAGAUAAAGCGAACAGCUGUACAGAAGCAGCAAACGAAUGUCUGGACCUCAGUUCUGCAGUUCAGAUAAUUGAGAAUGUGUGUCAGACAGGACUUGAGAGGAAGUAUAGAUUGGUGGCUGCAUCAAGCCUAGAAGCGCUUCCACUUCUACAAGACCUUGAGCAAUAAAAACAUCAGGGAUUAAGUGUACAGCAAUACAUAAGGCCAAGGAAUGAUUUUGGCAUAUCCCAUUGAAUUGCAGCCAUGCCCUCCCUUCAAGCAGAAUUAUCUGCAUUUCUAAUUGGACAGAAUGCAAAGAGAUCUGUCUCCAGAUGACUCCAGCAUGUUCUACCUACUCGGGAUCAGAUACUUCACAGGGUGAAAAAGGAAAGGAACUGAGAAGAGAAAUAGCUGAUGGCAGCAAAACAGCCCUUUAAAUGUCUGAAAAUGAGGCAGUGUCCCCACUUCAACUCCACCCUAUCCACAAAACGAUCCAAAGCUGCGGUUCUCCUCUCUGAAGUUGGACAAUCAACUUAAUAUGUUCACAUUUUCUAUUCAUCAGCAUGUAUCCCCACAAGCAGCCUUAAUAAAUGGUGGCGUGUAAAGGAACCCCCAGGUGAUGCAGCAGCAUCCAAUGGCAGAAUAGAGCCCACCUGCCUACUCUCACCACAUCUAGUGGUGGGACCUUGGAGUAUGGGCAGGUUUUUGUCACAUACACAAAUUCCCUGCAAAAGCCACUUUCGAACCGUGCUGUGUGGUGUACAGUCUCCACUGUGUGAUUUCCCCUCAAGCCGCCUUGUCUAGGGGCAUUUCACUGGUUCUGCUGAAUUUGAGGUCCUGACAGUCCUUAAUCAACAACUGGCUGACUCUUUCUGUUCCAAGGGAGAAGGGCUCUUAUGGCAUUGUAUUCAUAUUUGUAUGUUUCCAUAAUCUUGCCAUGUUCUCCUGUUGAGAAUCAGCAGAUGUUAAGAAUCCAAGAUCCAACACAAAGUUCCAUCUCUGUGCAAUUAAAAUGGCAUAGUUAAAAAAAAUAAGCACCUCAGCCACAUUCUGAAAUAUGAUAAUAUUCCAUUGACAUGUGGAUGCUCAAGGUUCCUGCUAUGCAGGCCCAGGAACAGUGAAUCACACCGAGAAAACAUGGAAAAAAGAGACGUAUUUUGUGGGCCAAAUUUUCAAAUGCAUACAGAGUAAUCAGAUAUUCAGAGUCUGCAUUUGGAUAUUUCAACUGGUUACUGGCUUCAUAAAAUGUGUGCAAGUAUCAAUCUCAGGAGCUAAAUGAAGGAUUUGGAUAUCAAUAAUCUGACAGCCACUUUUGCAACCUAAGCAGGCAGAAGGGCUCACAUGCUUCUCUAGUCUUCCACAGCCAGAAAGCAUGUAAAUUAUCAUUUUUUGUAGCAACCUCUGGUUUAAUAAUUAUUUAUUAGCUGACAUGCUUUUAGUAUCACAUGGUCUUUAACUACGGCUUUCACAAAACACUUCAAAUGUUUUAUCUAACUGAUGCUGCAAAUUCAAUAU
Molecule: long non-coding RNA, 2556 nt
Organism: Chelonia mydas (Green sea turtle)
Lineage: Eukaryota; Metazoa; Chordata; Testudines; Cheloniidae
Exons: 6
Source: RefSeq, a predicted model, not a curated record